This is a long non-coding RNA of Homo sapiens (human), 1165 nucleotides long. The record is from Ensembl. Lineage: Eukaryota; Metazoa; Chordata; Mammalia; Primates; Hominidae.
AGUCACAGAAGGGGGUGAGAAGUGGGAAGAGGGGAUUUGCAUAGAACCUCCAAUUUUCCUUAUUUCCUAGGGAGUUGAUGAUUUCAGCCAAAUAUAAGUCUUAACGUUACAUCUGCAAUGGAAAAACAAGUCAAACUCAGCAAAAAGGAGCCCUGAAGAGACAGAGUUAAGUGCUUCCGUGAUGAGAGUAGAGUUGGCCUAUGCUGUCCCUCCCAGGACUCCUUUACCCAAGAGAAAGAGAGAGUGUGCAUCCAAAGGGGAGUGAAAAUAGAAUAUAAAUAGGGAAAAUAGAACCAUUCAGAGCAGUUCAGGGAUCUUUACUACUCUGACAUGGAAGGAAGAAGGAGGAGAAGAGAAAAGAUGAACGGACCUUGAACCUGGGAUAUCGCUCAUGUGACUGCUACAUUGGUUAUCACAACAUCCUCAAAGAAAAAUGCAUCAUGAAUGGUCUUCAUACCAUCUAACAGAUCCAGUUUACCCUCAUUCCUGUGGCUUUGUUCUGGCUGCUACCUUCACUUGGCAUAUUUCUCCUCCCCUUCACCCUUCAAACCAUGUUUUCUUUCAAGGUCCCCUCAACCCUAAUGUGCACUGUGUCUUUCUGUCCACUCAAGUCCUGGCUGAUCUCUCCCUAUUCACACUUAUGCCACUAUUCUUUUCAGCUCUACCCAUGUGGCGCUUGCCAGAUGAUGUUACCUUUUUUGCUUUGGGAAUUUUGCUUUCCCAACUACAGCACAAGUAGGAGUGGUGUCUUGUAGUACUUUGUGUCUUUCUUCAUGUUUCAGAUGAGUGUUUUCCAUAGAGUGGAGCUCAAUUCCUAUUUCAGAUUUGAGCCAUCAAUGCUGGGCAAUUUCUUCCCAGGUAAAAUGAAGGCAAUACUAAAAUCUACCUCCAGAUGGGACUGUGAGGACCAGAUGAGAUGCUGUUUUAAAGCCCCGAGACCCCAGCACACAGUAGGUCUUCAAUAGGUAUCAUUCCCUUCCCUGUCCUUUCUGGCAAGGAGUUUAGCUUUGACUUAUUAAGGACUCAUAGGCAAGUCAUUUUUUAAUUGUUAUGGGAGGAAAAAAUGGCAUUGCCUUCCUUGUUUUACUGUGGUUUGUGGAAACUCAAAAAAAAGCAGCGUUCGGUUUUACAAUCUCUAUAAAUUGAAUUUCCUGUCUUUUCAGAA